AAUGGCCAUGGGGAGCUCCUUUUGGUCCAAUACAGAGGGCUGAGGUGUGGCUAGAGCUGUCAUCUCAUGCAUUCGGCUACCCCUUAAUAUUUCUAAUUAACCCUCCUGCUCCUGCUGUGCCUGUGUUGCACAAUUAUUCUUAUGAAAAUGUUAAGGUUUAGCCUGGUGCAUGGUGUGGGAGCAACUCCUUCCGCGCACUUAGCCCACCCAUUGGACUGAAGGGAGCUCCCGCAUCACAUCAC
Molecule: microRNA precursor, 242 nt
Organism: Prunus persica (peach)
Lineage: Eukaryota; Viridiplantae; Streptophyta; Magnoliopsida; Rosales; Rosaceae
Rfam family: MIR159 microRNA precursor family
Source: Rfam